GGAUGGAGCUUUGCCUAUUGGGCCUCAAAG
Molecule: non-coding RNA, 30 nt
Filed under: Homo sapiens (human)
Lineage: Eukaryota; Metazoa; Chordata; Mammalia; Primates; Hominidae
Source: RNAcentral